Molecule: long non-coding RNA, 817 nt
Organism: Phragmites australis (common reed)
Lineage: Eukaryota; Viridiplantae; Streptophyta; Magnoliopsida; Poales; Poaceae
Exons: 2
Source: RefSeq, a predicted model, not a curated record
CCACCCAACCCAACACCCUACUCGACAUUGCUCCUAUCCAACACCGAUACCUUCCCUAGAAACCUCGUUACCUUUCCUAAUGAUGCCUUCCUCCGGCAACCCCAAUCCCAACUCCGGCGAUCAUCUCCCCUUUCCGGCCGGGGCCUCAUCUUGCGACCUCGAUCCUAUCUCCAACGACCUCGUUCCCCUCCCUGGCAACCCCAUCCCCCUCCCUGGUAUUGAAUUGGGGCAGCUACGCACCCAGCGAAGAUCUAGAGUCGGUAGGGGAACAGGACCCAGACAGGAAUCGGAUCGAGGCAGUAUCCAUGAGCUCUGUGCGUAAGGAAUCAUUGGAGUGAUCGUUGCAAGCUCUGAUCCAGGUGGGAAUCGAAGACCCAAAAUAACCAUGUUCCAUCUUCAGUUUGCUUCUGCAUUCAAACAACAGUACUUAUGGUCAUCAUAGCCAUUGUUGUGUGUUCAUACUACUUGUAAUCAUAUUUCCAGUCCACCUCACAGCAUGGAUGAACUUGGGCAACCUGGCCAUGCAGCAGGGGGACUUAGUGUUGUUUCAGCCUGGUUCCAAGAGAAAUGGUGAGAACAGCAUGCAAGAAGUAGCUCUUAUGACACAUUGAUAUGAAACAGGCCGGUAAAAAUUGAAAAGCACUUGUAGCCUGCAUUGAUAUGCUGAAUGUUUUAGCUCGAUGUUGUUUCAAUAGUUGUAUCUUCAUAUUGUAAGUUAACUAUACCAUUGUAUUGGCUCCUUGGGUAGCAACAUGGAAACUCUUUUAUUUUUUCCUCUAAGAUAAAUGAAGGACAAUGCUCCUGCCAUUUGCGUCAA